Molecule: unclassified non-coding RNA, 201 nt
Filed under: Hevea brasiliensis (rubber tree)
Lineage: Eukaryota; Viridiplantae; Streptophyta; Magnoliopsida; Malpighiales; Euphorbiaceae
Source: RNAcentral
UGGUACAUUAAACACACAAAAACACACAUACAUAAUUAAGAACAUUAAAAGGAAAUGAAAAGAAAAGACUGAUUCUACGACCAUAUCCAUAUACCCGCAACCACCCUAGCAUAUGAAAUAAAUCUAAAUCAAACGAAAUAAAAAAUGAAAUAAAGAAAGGGUUCUUAAGGAUAUGCACCGUUAGUUGUUGGAAGAUCAGAC